AAUUCACUUCUACCUUGCAAACCCCUUGCUAUACUUUGCAUAUAGGAUAGCUGCAACCAAUUUAAAUCAGAGCCUGUGUCACAAUUGUCAAUACUUAAACUAGUUCAUUGAGGUUUCAGCUUUCUGUCAGUAAGGUAAAAGAUGGUUUUCAGUCUGAGAAUAUUCUUUGGCCAUUGCUGGCCAUAGAUUCAUACUUCCAUGAAGGUCCUACAGACCAGUAAACUGCUGCUCCUCAACUCAAGCCUCCUAUCUGGAAUUGUAUACUACUGACAUGAUCAACAUUCAUUAGCACCGAGCUCAGAAAUUUAAGAGCAAAAGCACUUAAUGCGCUAGGAAAGUAGGCUGGAGGAUUACUAGAUACUAUGAUUUUCUUCAAGGAAAUCAUUGUAUCAAGCAGUAUCAUAGCAGAAACUUGAAUAAAUCUAGACUUACGAAGGCAUCUAACUCUAGGGACUGCAUUUGGUAUGUAUGAGACGGGGAUUUUGAUAGGUAAUUAUAUGGUUUUAGGUUCUCAAACAUAGAGCAGUGAAACCUUAGAAUCAUACUGGGUUUGUGGAAAUAACUUGUGCUGUGUUGCAGAUCUUCUUUGGCAUCUCUGAUCAUACCUCUAUAUCUCGUUACAAACACAGAAACAGAACCAACCUAGACAGCCAAGAGAAUGUCAAAUGAGACAAAGACACGCAAUAAAAGCAAACAAUCUAUUUCAAGAGAAAAUGGAAAAAGAAAACCUAAAUUUUCAAGGGAGACAUUCAUUAGUUGGAAGAGGUUCUUAUGAACAUUAAUCUUAUUUUUCGAAUAAGUUCGAGGUGACUUUCUAAUCUAAAUAUUGUGCCUGAUGUACCAACUGCGGGUGCUUGGAAGAACCAGUAACUUGUAGCGGCACCUACUUUUCUUUGACAGAGUGAAAAUACAAUAUACAUAACCAGUAAUCAAAUAUCAACCCACAGUUUCUAAAACUACAAUGAAACCAAAGCAAGAGCAUCCCUUGUGUUGCCAAUUGUGCAACAUAAAUUCUGAAUAUUAUAUAAUUUACUUUUCAUUUUAUACGGACAAUUCAAUCUUUUGUUGAAUGAACAUGUAAUUGUUUUCACAAGCGAAAACUUACAACACAUUAACAUCUAUAAGGGUGUUGGGCAAUUUCCUUGUGUUAAAUGAAUUUCUCCUGUAAGUAUCUAUCUUGGAUGAUCCACUAAAAC
This is a long non-coding RNA of Gossypium arboreum, 1196 nucleotides long. RefSeq lists it as uncharacterized. The transcript is spliced from 2 exons. NCBI's taxonomy places the organism in Eukaryota, Viridiplantae, Streptophyta, Magnoliopsida, Malvales, Malvaceae. The record is from RefSeq and is a predicted model, not a curated record.